GACCCUUUUCGCGAAGCAGUUUGUUCUAGAGGAACGAGAUGGCGCUAUCGGAGGCGCGCCAUUGCUUGCCUCAGGCGCAAUUCUGCUCGAAUCCGAAACCACAUCCGCUGCUACCUUGCUACCGUGCGAUCAGCAGUCGGACCGCUAACGCACUGUGCUCCGUUCAAGCUGCGAAAUGUGGAAUGGUAGAGGCAAGACGUGUGCAGUAGUUGGCUGCAAGAACAGCGACUGGGACAUAAAAAUAUGGAAUGAAUCUGUGUGCGAAGUUCACGGACCGCUACUGCACAAGGACUGUCCGUGUUGCCGACCAUUCGCGAUGCACGGCUUCCCACAAGGAUUAAAAAAUGCCGUCGUCCGCCAGCGUUGGAUCGCAAAUCUUCAACGAAAAAACUUCGACCCCGGAACGUGGGCAAGAGUGUGUUCGGUCCAUUUUGUUGAUGGAUGUCCCACAAAAAAUAACCCAUACCCAACACUGCACCUUGGAACACCGGUAAUGUGCAAUUCUUCAUUCAUGCUCUCUCGCCAUAACUCCUGCUGUAUUGAAUAUAUAUGUUUUCUUUUUCUGUAUUUAAAAUUUAGACUAUCCAUCACAAAGGAAGAAGGCAGUUAAAGCGCCCUGCAACCUGCAUGCAAGAAGCUGAGACAACGGUCACCAUAUGCCCAGCGACAGCUGACACCAGCACUGAACAGCAGACAGCAAUGGACGAGCAAGAUGAAGGCGACAGUGAACCCUGCUACAGUUACAGUUACAUACCAAAUAGGCUGACAGAGGCAGAGGAAACACCAAGGAGCUGCUCGGCCUGCGGCUGCAAAUGCCAGUUUCUGGUGACAUCGGACAAGGAAGUUCAAGCCACAGCACAAUUAUCUGAACACACAUACAGCAAAC
Dermacentor silvarum is the source of this 886-nucleotide long non-coding RNA. RefSeq lists it as uncharacterized. The record is from RefSeq and is a predicted model, not a curated record. Lineage: Eukaryota; Metazoa; Arthropoda; Arachnida; Ixodida; Ixodidae. The transcript is spliced from 3 exons.